GACGAACGCUGGCGGCGUGCUUAACACAUGCAAGUCGAACGGAAAGGCCCUGCUUGCAGGGUACUCGAGUGGCGAACGGGUGAGUAACACGUGGGUGAUCUGCCCUGCACUUCGGGAUAAGCCUGGGAAACUGGGUCUAAUACCGGAUAGGAGCCAUUUUUAGUGUGAUGGUUGGAAAGUUUUUUCGGUGUAGGAUGAGCUCGCGGCCUAUCAGCUUGUUGGUGGGGUAAUGGCCUACCAAGGCGGCGACGGGUAGCCGGCCUGAGAGGGUGGACGGCCAAAUGGGGACGGGGUAACGGCCAGGACCCUACGGGGGGGCAGCGGGGGGAAUAUUGCCAAAUUGGGGGCAGGCCGAUGCAGCGACGCCGGGUGGGGGAAUAACGGCUUCCGGUUGUAAACUCCUUUCGCUAGGGACGAAGCUUUUUGUGACGGUACCUAGAUAAGAAGCACCGGCUAACUACGUG
Molecule: ribosomal RNA, 464 nt
Filed under: uncultured bacterium
Lineage: Bacteria
Description: partial 16S ribosomal RNA
Rfam family: Bacterial small subunit ribosomal RNA
Source: RNAcentral